GACGAACGCUGGCGGCGUGCCUAAUACAUGCAAGUUGAGCGCUGAAGGUUGGUACUUGUACCAACUGGAUGAGCAGCGAACGGGUGAGUGACGCGUGGGGAAUCUGCCUUUGAGCGGGGGACAACAUUUGGAAACGAAUGCUAAUACCGCAUAAAAACUUUAAACACAAGUUUUAAGUUUGAAAGAUGCAAUUGCAUCACUCAAAGAUGAUCCCGCGUUGUAUUAGCUAGUUGGUGAGGUAAAGGCUCACCAAGGCGAUGAUACAUAGCCGACCUGAGAGGGUGAUCGGCCACAUUGGGACUGAGACACGGCCCAAACUCCUACGGGAGGCAGCAGUAGGGAAUCUUCGGCAAUGGACGAAAGUCUGACCGAGCAACGCCGCGUGAGUGAAGAAGGUUUUCGGAUCGUAAAACUCUGUUGGUAGAGAAGAACGUUGGUGAGAGUGGAAAGCUCAUCAAGUGACGGUAACUACCCAGAAAGGGACGGCUAACUACGUG
RNAcentral lists this ribosomal RNA (497 nucleotides) under uncultured bacterium. RNAcentral describes it as "partial 16S ribosomal RNA". It matches the Rfam family "Bacterial small subunit ribosomal RNA", at positions 28 to 507 of the family's 1533-position model. The record is from RNAcentral.